RNAcentral lists this ribosomal RNA (197 nucleotides) under uncultured bacterium. Its description in RNAcentral is "partial 16S ribosomal RNA". It matches the Rfam family "Bacterial small subunit ribosomal RNA", at positions 326 to 539 of the family's 1533-position model. The record is from RNAcentral.
ACGCUCGACACCUACGGGAUGCAGCAGUGGGGAAUAUUGCACAAUGGGGGAAACCCUGAUGCAGCGACGCCGCGUGGAGGAAGAAGGUCUUCGGAUUGUAAACUCCUGUUGUUGGGGAAAAAGAGGAUGGUACCCAACAAGGAAGUGACGGCUAACUACGUGCCACAGCCGCGGUAAUCUGAGCGGGCUGGCAAGGC